CAGUAGCCGCGGUAAUACGGAGGGGGCUAGCGUUGUUCGGAAUUACUGGGCGUAAAGCGCACGUAGGCGGCUUGGUAAGUUAGAGGUGAAAGCCCGGAGCUCAACUCCGGAAUUGCCUUUAAGACUGCCGAGCUAGUAGGUGAGAGAGGUAAGUGGAAUUCCGAGUGUAGAGGUGAAAUUCGUAGAUAUUCGGAAGAACACCAGUGGCGAAGGCGGCUUACUGGCUCAUUCUAGACGCUGAGGUGCGAAAGCGUGGGGAGCAAACAGGAUUAGAUACCCGUGUAGUCCCUGUCUCUUAUAC
Molecule: ribosomal RNA, 301 nt
Filed under: uncultured bacterium
Lineage: Bacteria
Description: partial 16S ribosomal RNA
Rfam family: Bacterial small subunit ribosomal RNA
Source: RNAcentral